AAUGACUCUCGGCAACGGAUAUCUCGGCUCUUACAUCGAUGAAGAACGUAGCAAAAUGCGAUACUUGGUGUGAAUUGCAAAAUCCCGUGAACCAUCGAGUCUUUGAACGCAAGUUGCGCCCGAAUCCAUUUGGUUGAGGGCACGUCUGCCUGGGUGUCACGUA
Molecule: ribosomal RNA, 163 nt
Filed under: Saxifraga oppositifolia
Lineage: Eukaryota; Viridiplantae; Streptophyta; Magnoliopsida; Saxifragales; Saxifragaceae
Description: 5.8S ribosomal RNA
Rfam family: 5.8S ribosomal RNA
About the family: 5.8S ribosomal RNA (5.8S rRNA) is a component of the large subunit of the eukaryotic ribosome. It is transcribed by RNA polymerase I as part of the 45S precursor that also contains 18S and 28S rRNA.
Source: RNAcentral